CACGGUGGGAGCAAGCGUUGUUCGGAAUCACUGGGCGUAAAGGGCGUGUAGGCGGUCAAGUAAGUGGAAUGUGAAAGCCCCCGGCUUACCCGGGGAUCUGCAUCCCAAACUGCUUGGCUUGAGUACGGGAGAGGAUAGGGGAAUUCCUGGUGUAGCGGUGAAAUGCGUAGAUAUCAGGAGGAACACCGGUGGCGAAGGCGCCUAUCUGGCCCGAUACUGACGCUGAGGCGCGAAAGCUAGGGGAGCAAACGGG
Molecule: ribosomal RNA, 253 nt
Filed under: uncultured bacterium
Lineage: Bacteria
Description: partial 16S ribosomal RNA
Rfam family: Bacterial small subunit ribosomal RNA
Source: RNAcentral